ACGAACGCUGGCGGCGCGCCUAACACAUGCAAGUCGAACGAGCGAGAGAGAGCUUGCUUUCUCACGCGAGUGGCGAACGGGUGAGUAACGCGUGAGGAACCUGCCUCAAAGAGGGGGACAACAGUUGGAAACGACUGCUAAUACCGCAUAAGCCCACAGGUCGGCAUCGACCAGAGGGAAAAGGAGCAAUCCGCUUUGAGAUGGCCUCGCGUCCGAUUAGCUAGUUGGUGAGGUAACGGCCCACCAAGGCAACGAUCGGUAGCCGGACUGAGAGGUUGAACGGCCACAUUGGGACUGAGACACGGCCCAGACUCCUACGGGAGGCAGCAGUGGGGAAUAUUGCACAAUGGGGGAAACCCUGAUGCAGCGACGCCGCGUGGAGGAAGAAGGUCUUCGGAUUGUAAACUCCUGUUGUUGAGGAAGAUAAUGACGGUACUCAACAAGGAAGUGACGGCUAACUACGUG
Molecule: ribosomal RNA, 465 nt
Filed under: uncultured bacterium
Lineage: Bacteria
Description: partial 16S ribosomal RNA
Rfam family: Bacterial small subunit ribosomal RNA
Source: RNAcentral